Molecule: ribosomal RNA, 253 nt
Filed under: uncultured bacterium
Lineage: Bacteria
Description: partial 16S ribosomal RNA
Rfam family: Bacterial small subunit ribosomal RNA
Source: RNAcentral
GACGUAGGGCGCGAGCGUUGUCCGGAUUUAUUGGGCGUAAAGAGCUCGUAGGCGGCCUGUCGCGUCGUCCGUGAAAACCCACGGCUCAACUGUGGGCUUGCGGUCGAUACGGGCAGGCUGGAGUUCGGUAGGGGAGACUGGAAUUCCUGGUGUAGCGGUGAAAUGCGCAGAUAUCAGGAGGAACACCGGUGGCGAAGGCGGGUCUCUGGGCCGAUACUGACGCUGAGGAGCGAAAGCGUGGGGAGCGAACAGG